RNAcentral lists this ribosomal RNA (472 nucleotides) under uncultured soil bacterium. Its description in RNAcentral is "bacterial SSU rRNA". It matches the Rfam family "Bacterial small subunit ribosomal RNA", at positions 26 to 518 of the family's 1533-position model. The record is from RNAcentral.
AGGACGAACGCUGGCGGCGUGCUUAACACAUGCAAGUCGAGCGGUAAGGCCUUUCGGGGUACACGAGCGGCGAACGGGUGAGUAACACGUGGGUGAUCUGCCCUGCACUUCGGGAUAAGCCUGGGAAACUGGGUCUAAUACCGGAUAUGACCUCAGGUUGCAUGACUUGGGGUGGAAAGAUUUAUCGGUGCAGGAUGGGCCCGCGGCCUAUCAGCUUGUUGGUGGGGUAAUGGCCUACCAAGGCGACGACGGGUAGCCGACCUGAGAGGGUGACCGGCCACACUGGGACUGAGACACGGCCCAGACUCCUACGGGAGGCAGCAGUGGGGAAUAUUGCACAAUGGGCGAAAGCCUGAUGCAGCGACGCCGCGUGAGGAUGACGGCCUUCGGUUGUAACCUCUUCUAGCAGGACGAAGCGCAAGUGACGGUACCUGCAGAAGAAGCACCGGACUAACUACGUGCCAGCAGCCGC